CCAGAUCCAAAGCGUCCAGGGAAGAAUCCUCAUCCUCAGAGAGCCACCCUGCACCACGGCCAAUGCCCUUCCGCACCAUGCUGUGCCCCACGCCUCGCCCAGCACCCACAGAGUAGGAUUCGUUCUCUGUUCCUGAUGUGUCCUCGCUGCUGUCCUCAGGGAAGUUCACGCGGGAGAAGGAGGGCUUCCCCCUGCCCUGCUUUGAG
RNAcentral lists this long non-coding RNA (206 nucleotides) under Gallus gallus (chicken). The record is from RNAcentral. Lineage: Eukaryota; Metazoa; Chordata; Aves; Galliformes; Phasianidae.